RNAcentral lists this long non-coding RNA (826 nucleotides) under Gossypium barbadense (sea-island cotton). Its description in RNAcentral is "long non-coding RNA (GBAR_LNC016980)". The record is from RNAcentral. Lineage: Eukaryota; Viridiplantae; Streptophyta; Magnoliopsida; Malvales; Malvaceae.
AACUGCAAAACCACCCCCUCCCUUUCAGUCCAUGGUUCGGCGCCGGUCAUAGGGUUUCGGCCAGUGGCCGCCGUAGCCGCUCCGCGAGUGGUGGUCGGAACCACCAAAACCAUGGGUUUUAAACCCGCUUCUGAGUUCAUUCGAAGGCCCGGCCCCCGUGUCCCAAAAGACCGAAGGAGAAGGAUCUUCUCUGCUUCCUCUCGGUCUGACUCCGACGACGGUUGGGAAACCUUCGGCGAUGGACUCACGGAGUAAGCAGGUGCGGCCCUUAUUUUUAUUUCUUCAUUUAUUAUGUAAAAAAUGAAAAAAAAUAAUAAUGCGCAAAAACCGUGUCUGAAAAUGAAUAAUAAUGACCUUUUAGAUUUUAUUUCUGUUUUUUCUAUCUCCAAAGAAAAAAAUCCCCCUAAAUACAUUGAUGUCUGUGGCUUUUAUAGCCGAAAGAAAAUAAAAGAAAAUCCCCCCUUUUUGCUACUGUUUUGUGGUCUAUUUCUAUUUUCUUCCUUUGCUACUUAUUUGCAGGUGAUUGACGCGGUGGCAGAGUCAGAGGGCAGGUGAGCGAUGGCAAGUGGGAGACGUGACGAGCGGCGCAACGGUGGCAGGAGGUCAGGGGUCAGAAGACCCUAGGUGCGAUUAGGGUUUUUUGUUGAAAUGUUUUAAGUUUUUGGGCUUGUUGGGCUAGGUUUUAAUUUGGGUCUGUUUGGGUUUGAUUUGGGCCAUGUUUGGUUUGUUUAUUUUGUAAAUGGGCCCGGGCAAAAUUGGGCUUCUACAGUUAGUUCACACAUGAAGCCAGCCAACCACUUUUUCCUAAUAUAAAGGUCGAGUUGUC